CAACACAGGGCAGGGUAAGCAGAUAAUAGUGAGGAUGGUUUUCUGAAUACCAACUUUCCAAGGUUUUUAAGGCCAAGUUUGCAACUUGACCAGAUUUAUUUAUGGCCUCUGGAAAGAUGUACUACUUCUAGUGCUGACAGAGCUAAUCAAUGCCUCAGUGAAUUUGUCUACAUUGCAAAGUGAUACCUGGAGGACUUUCUGAGGCACAGACUUCCAAGUCAGAGAAUUUUUGAUGAUGUUCUUGAAGGAAAUAAAAGAGGGACUGUUCCAUCGGUCACGGAAACUGAGCAGCUGGGCACCUUCUUCCCCUCUUCAUCAUUGCCAAGGAAAUGAAAAGACCAAGUUUUUAAGUACACUGCACGAAGCUAUUCUUUCUGGCUCUGGAUUCAGCUCAAGCCCACUCCAUUCUUGAGCAGAAGAAUGUCAGGCCCUGCCUUUGAGGCACAUGUAGAAUGCUUACAGAUCUCAACAAGAAAUGGGAUGUUUUUCUGCUAUCACCUGAAGCUGCUGUGGCCAUAAAACUAAUAAAUCACUAGAAAAUCUCCUUGCCCA
This 552-nucleotide long non-coding RNA is filed under the name Vulpes vulpes (red fox). RNAcentral describes it as "lncRNA (ENSVVUG00000019401.1)". The record is from RNAcentral. Lineage: Eukaryota; Metazoa; Chordata; Mammalia; Carnivora; Canidae.